Molecule: non-coding RNA, 85 nt
Organism: Felis catus (domestic cat)
Lineage: Eukaryota; Metazoa; Chordata; Mammalia; Carnivora; Felidae
Source: Rfam
GCCCGGGCGGCUCAGUUGGUUAAGCAUCUGACUGCAGCUCAGGUCAUGAUCUCGCGGUUCGUGGGUUCGAGUCCCGCGUCGGGCU